This 404-nucleotide ribosomal RNA is filed under the name Actinomycetes bacterium. RNAcentral's name for it is "Actinobacteria bacterium partial 16S ribosomal RNA". It matches the Rfam family "Bacterial small subunit ribosomal RNA", at positions 355 to 776 of the family's 1533-position model. Lineage: Bacteria; Bacillati; Actinomycetota; Actinomycetes. The record is from RNAcentral.
UGGGGAAUAUGGGACAAUGGGCGCAAGCCUGAUCCAGCCAUGCCGCGUGAGUGAUGAAGGCCCUAGGGUUGUAAAGCUCUUUCACCGGUGAAGAUAAUGACGGUAACCGGAGAAGAAGCCCCGGCUAACUUCGUGCCAGCAGCCGCGGUAAUACGAAGGGGGCUGGCGUUGUUCGGAUUUACUGGGCGUAAAGCGCACGUAGGCGGACUUUUAAGUCAGGGGUGAAAUCCCGGGGCUCAACCCCGGAACUGCCUUUGAUACUGGAAGUCUUGAGUAUGGUAGAGGUGAGUGGAAUUCCGAGUGUAGAGGUGAAAUUCGUAGAUAUUCGGAGGAACACCAGUGGCGAAGGCGGCUCACUGGACCAUUACUGACGCUGAGGUGCGAAAGCGUGGGGAGCAAACAGG